This 253-nucleotide ribosomal RNA is filed under the name uncultured bacterium. Its description in RNAcentral is "partial 16S ribosomal RNA". It matches the Rfam family "Bacterial small subunit ribosomal RNA", at positions 524 to 776 of the family's 1533-position model. The record is from RNAcentral.
UACGUAGGGCGCAAGCGUUGUCCGGAAUUAUUGGGCGUAAAGAGCUCGUAGGCGGCUUGUCACGUCGGGUGUGAAAGCCCGGGGCUUAACCCCGGGUCUGCAUUCGAUACGGGCAGGCUAGAGUGUGGUAGGGGAGACUGGAAUUCCUGGUGUAGCGGUGGAAUGCGCAGAUAUCAGGAGGAACACCGAUGGCGAAGGCAGGUCUCUGGGCCACUACUGACGCUGAGAAGCGAAAGCGUGGGGAGCGAACAGG